RNAcentral lists this long non-coding RNA (1119 nucleotides) under Homo sapiens (human). RNAcentral's name for it is "HSALNT0339928". Lineage: Eukaryota; Metazoa; Chordata; Mammalia; Primates; Hominidae. The record is from RNAcentral.
AAGGAAGAAAAGAGAGGCGACUCCUAGCAGCGGCCGAGCUUACAGAGAGAAGGGUGGAGGUGUGUGGUGGAAGGGGAAAGCCGGCCGGCUGGCAAAGCGCUGCGGAGAAAGACACGAGGCUCCUGAGCAGGGAAAGCCGAGGUUGCCACCGCAGGCCUGGCACGACCAGGGCCGUGAUGCCCCGCCCGGCCCGACCCCCGCGCGCAGAGGUACCUGGAGACGAUUUCAACUGAAGUAAUGAAGGCAGUGUCGUGCUGUCGAGAGAAAGGUGGAUCCCAACAACAGGAAACUACCUAAAUCACCGACCAGUUCUGGUGCUGCCCGCGAAGGGCUGCCUCGCCCGCCGCCGCCGCCGCCUCCGCCGCUGCCGCCGCCGCCAAGGAGAGAACCCUGCCAUCGCGCCUGGCCCGGCCCAGCCCAGCCCCUAGGCAACCUGCGCCCGCCAGUGCAACAGAGUGCCCCAGGCGGCCGCAAAUGCGUCAAGGAAGGGGAAGCCACAGGCCCCAGUAAGCCAAAGUCAAGCCCGUUUGCCAACCUGCAUGUCCAUGCCUGUAAGCCCUUCUCUUGGCCAAGGAAGAAAGGAAGAAAGAAAAAAGAAACCCAGGGGCCUGUAUCCCCUGAUUAAACACAGCACAGCACUCCAGGCAGACAUGCCCGGUGGCGGCUCCUUUGCACCAUUGACCUCAGGCCAGACACCUCAGCGCCAACAAUGGGACCUCGGCCUUCCGGCUAGGUUUGCCCCAGGCUGGGCAGGAAACCAGCUCGGCCGAAGACAGGGGCCAUUUCGAGCAGUGGGACCCCAAGACAGCAAACCCAGCCCAGUCAGGACUUGACACUUAGGACAAUAUCUAUCUCUAUAGAAUUUUAGCAUGAUAUGGCUUUUUCCCCCAGAAAACAACAAAUAAACCAGCACCAAGCAAACACAAAGAAACAAAAAGUCAGAACAAACCAGCCCUGCACAGAUGUAACGGCCCAGGAGAUGGCGAGUGUGGGAGGGAGGAACAGGGCUCCAGCACAGGUGCGAGUUCCUGGGCAGAGCCUGAAGACAGAGGGAGGGGACCAGCGCUCGGGAAGUGAAAAAACCGCGUCGCCUGGAGAUUCAUCAGGAAAAAUUAAAGU